Molecule: unclassified non-coding RNA, 232 nt
Filed under: uncultured fungus
Lineage: Eukaryota; Fungi
Description: sequence contains ITS1, 5.8S rRNA gene
Rfam family: 5.8S ribosomal RNA (bases 184-232)
Source: RNAcentral
UCUUCGUAGGUGAACCUGCGGAGGGAUCAUUACUGAGCGAGGGUUUGACCGCCCGACCUCCAACCCUUUGUGAACCAAACUUGUUGCUUCGGGGGCGACCCUGCCGACGACUUCGUCGCCGGGCGCCCCCGAAGGUCUCCCAACACUGCAUCUUUGCGUCGGAGUUUAAACCAAAUUAAACAAAACUUUCAACAACGGAUCUCUUGGUUCUGGCAUCGAUGAAGAACGCAGC